RNAcentral lists this long non-coding RNA (2141 nucleotides) under Piliocolobus tephrosceles (Ugandan red Colobus). RNAcentral describes it as "lncRNA (ENSPTEG00000011447.1)". The record is from RNAcentral. Lineage: Eukaryota; Metazoa; Chordata; Mammalia; Primates; Cercopithecidae.
AUUAAAUACUUACAAUGCAAAAAAAUAUAAAGAGAAAUUAUACCCAUAUGAAAUUUAAUGAUGGUCAUAAUGAAGAACUUGCUAAAAAAGAACAAAAUUAUGUGAAUGGAAAAACGAUGAGUUCUAUUAAACAGGAAGAGCACAUCGUAGAGGAGUUGUCUAAUCGAGAUAACAAACAUAUUGUAAAUGAUUUAAAAUUAAAAUCGUCUUUAAAAAAAACAAUAACUGAUGAGUAUAAAAAGGUAUCCGAUGGAAUAUCCAGUACAGAAAUAAAUACAAAUAGAAUUUUCAUUCCUUCAAGUGGUAUGAACACCUCAGAAGGUAAGGUUAAAAAAAAGGUAGUUAUAGAAACUUUUGAUGAUAAUUCAAGUGUUGUUAAGGAUCAAAAUAAAUUAAAAAAGAAUAUUACGAAGCAGAAAGUGGCAUAUGAAAGUAAAAAAGUUGUAAAAUCCCAAGAAAAUGGGGAAGAAAAAAGGGAUAAAGAGGAAGAAGAUGAAGAGGAAGAGGAUGGAGAAGAAGAGGAUGGAGAAGAAGAGGAUGAAGAGGAAGAUGAGGGGGAGAAAGGGGAAGAAGAAGGUGAAGAGGAUGAUACUGAGCAAGAGAAAGAAGAUAAAGAAGGCGAAGAGGAGGAUACAGAGGAUGAGGAUGAAGAUGAGGAUGAAGAUGAGGAUGAAGAUGAGGAUGAAGAUGAGGAUGAGGAUGAGGAUGAGGAUGAGGAUGAAGAUGAGGAUGAAGAAGAGAAAGGGGAAGAAGAAGGCGAAGAGGAAAACGAAGAAGAAGAAGAAGAAGAAGAAGAAAAAAACGAAGAGGGAGAAAAGGAGAAAAAAAAAAACAAGAAUGAAAAAGAUGAAACAUUUAAAGGGCGCCAGAAAACGAAAGAAAUAAAAAAAAGUCAAACAAUGAAUUUAAAGAUAAAUGAUAAAAAAGUGUUAGAAAAAGGAAAAUCUAUUAUUAAUAAAGAAAGCGUAUUUCAAAGACUUUACACUAAUAAUAAACUACAAUAUGGUAAAAAAGAUUAUAAUAAAGAACUAAAAAAAACAUUUACAUUACAUGUAUACUCAACUAAUAAUGAUACAACAAAAAAGCCAUACACUACAAAACUCGACAGGAAGACAACUUUUGCAUCUAGUUCACAAACUAGUAAUAUUAAAAAAGGAAAUUUAGAAAAUAAAUUGAGUAUGAUUAAAAACCAACCCCAAAUAUUAAAUAUAGAAAAACGUUUAAAACAUACGAAUACUUUGAAUGUACAUCGACCAUUAUUAAAAAGUACUACACAUAUAUUCAGAGAUAAAAAAGCAUUAAAUAUAAAAACUUUUAAAGGUACUGAUAUUACUGCAAUGAAGGCAAUAAAAUCAAAAACGUUUGUAGAUAUUUCCUCUAUUAAAAACUAUGCAAAAGAAAAUGAUAAAAAAAAUGCAACUAAAAUUGCAAAAUCAAAUUUUGACUUAAGUGACAUAAAAAAUAAAAGAAUGGAUGAUAAAAGUAAGUGUAAAUUGACUAAGGAAUUGCAUAAUGAAACAUGUAUAUCUAUAAGUAGAGCUGUGAAUAACAUAAAUAGCAAAAAGAUGGUAUUAAAAAAAAAUAAUGUAUUCCAUGGAUUUUCGUUAUUUAAAAAUAUGAUUGCAAUAAAUAAAGAAGGGAAGAUAUGCAUUUGGAAUGGAUAUUAUUGGAAUUAUAUAUAUAUACCGUAUGAUACUUUUUUAUCAUUAUGUACUAAUAAACUAGGACACAUAUUAUGCAUUAAUUCUAAUAAUAAAGCAGGUUAUUUAAUGAAAAAUAAACAUUUUAAACCACUUAAUACAUAUGAAAAAUGUACAUUUUUGAAAGUUGCUCUUGAUAAUAAAAACAAGAUGUGGGGCAUAAAUUUGAGAGGUGAAUUAGAAAAAUGGAAUAAAUAUGGUUGGAUCACAAUCAAAAAGGCUUAUGGAAUUUCUAAACUAAGAUCAUUUGCAAUCGAUAAAAAUAAUAAACUUUGGGUUUUAGAUGAGAAGAAUUUUUUUUAUAUUUACGAUACAAAAGAUAAAAACUGGUUGUUGAAAAAAAUUAACGGAGCAAAUAUAAAAGAUUUUGAUUUUAAUGAAGACAAUGUUUUAAUAGCUAUUACCAAUGAUGAAAUAGUUAAGAUUUACAAUAAAAAAAAA